GGCCAACCUAGAAAAUUAUGUGCAAGAGAGGGUGCCUGAAGGAAAAAUAAUUGCCAUGAAGACUGGACAAACAAAUAAAGAAAAUCUACAACGUCUACUGAUCUUCCAACCUCUAUGUUGUACCAAACUUGGAGAAGAGCCAAAUCUUGGAACUAAAUGUAAACAGCAAUACUCGACCCCAAAUGAGAAUAUGGAUCAAAGCCUUCCUACAAAU
This 214-nucleotide unclassified non-coding RNA is filed under the name Hevea brasiliensis (rubber tree). Lineage: Eukaryota; Viridiplantae; Streptophyta; Magnoliopsida; Malpighiales; Euphorbiaceae. The record is from RNAcentral.